UUGAACGCUGGCGGCAUGCCUUACCCCUGCAAGUCGCACGGUAACGGGCCUUCGGGUGCCGACGAGUGGCGAACGGGUGAGUAAUACAUCGGAACGUGCCCGAUCGUGGGGGAUAACGAGGCGAAAGCUUUGCUAAUACCGCAUACGAUCUACGGAUGAAAGCAGGGGACCGCAAGGCCUUGCGCGGACGGAGCGGCCGAUGGCAGAUUAGGUAGUUGGUGGGAUAAAAGCUUACCAAGCCGACGAUCUGUAGCUGGUCUGAGAGGAUGAUCAGCCACACUGGGACUGAGACACGGCCCAGACUCCUACGGGAGGCAGCAGUGGGGAAUUUUGGACAAUGGGCGCAAGCCUGAUCCAGCCAUGCCGCGUGCAGGAUGAAGGCCUUCGGGUUGUAAACUGCUUUUGUACGGAACGAAAAGCCUUCUUUUAAUACAGGAGGGUCAUGACGGUACCGUAAGAAUAAGCACCGGCUAACUACGUG
This 481-nucleotide ribosomal RNA is filed under the name uncultured bacterium. Its description in RNAcentral is "partial 16S ribosomal RNA". It matches the Rfam family "Bacterial small subunit ribosomal RNA", at positions 30 to 507 of the family's 1533-position model. The record is from RNAcentral.